UACGGAGGGGGCUAGCGUUGUUCGGAAUUACUGGGCGUAAAGCGCGCGUAGGCGGACCUGCAAGUCGGGGGUGAAAGCCCGAGGCUCAACCUCGGAACUGCCUUCGAUACUGCGGGUCUCGAGUCCGGGAGAGGUGAGUGGAAUUCCUAGUGUAGAGGUGAAAUUCGUAGAUAUUCGCAAGGACACCAGUGGCGAAGGCGGCUCACUGGCCCGGUACUGACGCUGAGGCACGAAAGCGUGGGGAGCAAACAGG
Molecule: ribosomal RNA, 253 nt
Filed under: uncultured bacterium
Lineage: Bacteria
Description: partial 16S ribosomal RNA
Rfam family: Bacterial small subunit ribosomal RNA
Source: RNAcentral